RNAcentral lists this small RNA (312 nucleotides) under Vigna angularis var. angularis. RNAcentral's name for it is "Non-protein coding transcript". The record is from RNAcentral. Lineage: Eukaryota; Viridiplantae; Streptophyta; Magnoliopsida; Fabales; Fabaceae.
AAAAAAUUCAAUACACAUAACAUUGGAGACUCUCAUAAAGAAGGAUCUCCCUCCUUAUUCUAGUCAUCAAGAGGUUAUCAGUGGCUACGUGAACUUGUGGCUUGUUCAGAUGGAUGCCUUAGAAUUCCGUUGUAAGGAGUGUCACAAAAGGGCGGAAGCACAGUACACACUAGAUUCAGUAAGAGCGUCUUUGGCUAGACAAGAAGACACCAUCAUAUUUGCUUUGAUUGAAAGAGCCAAGUUUCCUUUGAAUCCUCAAUGCUACACUCGGCCUAUCGUUUCAGAAGGAUAUUGCGGUCCAAUGUUUGACGC